Molecule: ribosomal RNA, 253 nt
Filed under: uncultured bacterium
Lineage: Bacteria
Description: partial 16S ribosomal RNA
Rfam family: Bacterial small subunit ribosomal RNA
Source: RNAcentral
UACGUAGGGUGCAAGCGUUAAUCGGAAUUACUGGGCGUAAAGCGUGCGCAGGCGGUUUUGUAAGUCUGACGUGAAAUCCCCGGGCUUAACCUGGGAAUUGCGUUGGAGACUGCAAGGCUGGAGUCUGGCAGAGGGGGGUAGAAUUCCACGUGUAGCAGUGAAAUGCGUAGAGAUGGGGAGGAACACCGAUGGCGAAGGCAGCCCCCUGGGUCAAGACUGACGCUCAUGCACGAAAGCGUGGGGAGCAAACAGG